CUGGGAUCCAUGCUCGGCAAUAGGAAAUGAGGCCUAGGAAGGCGUGUAGUGACUUCGAGGUCCUUGGAGGUGGAAUGUCCAGUACCGCUCUAACUCGGUCACGGGUAAGAUGUCUGGUUCCCUGAGACAGACAAUGGCCAAGGAAGAUAACAGUAGGUUGGCAGAAUUGCAGCUUGAGACGUGAAGCUUUACAUCCUUGUUCUGCU
Non-coding RNA from Pelobates cultripes (western spadefoot toad), 206 nucleotides. NCBI's taxonomy places the organism in Eukaryota, Metazoa, Chordata, Amphibia, Anura, Pelobatidae. The record is from the annotation of a GenBank genome assembly.